Molecule: non-coding RNA, 116 nt
Organism: Triticum urartu
Lineage: Eukaryota; Viridiplantae; Streptophyta; Magnoliopsida; Poales; Poaceae
Source: Rfam
CACCUACUCCCUCCGUUCGGAAAUAUUUGUCAUCAAAAUGAAUAAAAAGAGAUGUUCUCUUACAUCCCUUUUUAUUCAUUUUGAUGACAAGUAUUUCUGGACGAAGAAAGUACAUA